CGUGCAAUUUUUUUAAAAAUAACAAUAAGGUAGUUCUAAAAUGUUAUACUGCAAUUAGCUAGUUUCUUAAUUUCAUUCGUUUAAUGUUUAUAAAUUCAACUUGUCCGUUUGGUCGAAUUUUAUUAUACCCAAAAAUGCAUAUAUAUCUUUGCGAGUAGUGAUCAGGCGAUGGAACUUGCACGAAGCAAAAACGCAGAUAAAUUGAAUUCUGUAAAACGGGGAUGAAACUAAGCACGCGAUUGGUUACAGCGUCGCAGACAUCGAAUUUAACGCAUCUGAUUGGCGUUUGUCUACGUCAUCAGUGCUUCAUGUGGUAGCAAUCGCAAUUUUGCGACAAGCCUGAGAGGCGUUUUGUUCAUUAUAAGUUCAUAAAGUUUCGAGGUGGAAGGACGUGUUUUCGCGUCUCUUAAAUUCAACUUAUCGAGCUAUUAGUUUUAAUUUGUUCUUCGUCUGAAAGAUUAGUUAACAACUGUGAGAGAUUGGAACUGAUAUCCUUUGCUUACUGAAAAGAUAAGUCGUCUCCUAUGGUGUUUUAGCUGUUAAUUUUUCAUCUUGGAGGCUCUUGUAGUUAAUUAAGGAACAUUAGAAGAACUCCGGAUAACAUUAAAUUAUGAAAUUAUGGAGCAUUGGUUGUAUUAGUCCUAAUUUGCCCCGGAAAGUAGCUGAUU
Molecule: long non-coding RNA, 668 nt
Filed under: Agrilus planipennis (emerald ash borer)
Lineage: Eukaryota; Metazoa; Arthropoda; Insecta; Coleoptera; Buprestidae
Description: uncharacterized LOC108739306, transcript variant X4
Source: RNAcentral